This 492-nucleotide ribosomal RNA is filed under the name uncultured bacterium. Its description in RNAcentral is "partial 16S ribosomal RNA". It matches the Rfam family "Bacterial small subunit ribosomal RNA", at positions 29 to 507 of the family's 1533-position model. The record is from RNAcentral.
AGUGAACGCUGGCGGUAGGCCUAACACAUGCAAGUCGAACGGAAGCACAGUAAGAGCGUGCUUUUACGGGUGGCGAGUGGCGGAUGGGUGAGAAGUGCAUCGGAAUCUACUUUUACUUGGGUGACAACGGGGGGAAAGUGCUGAUAAUACCGCAUAUGACGUACGGGUGAGAGCAGUAGAUCUUGGCACUUUGGGCGUUACAUUGAGCCGAUGUCGGAUUAGCUAGUUGGGGAGGUAAAGGCCCACCAAGGCGACGAUCCGUAGCGGGCCUGAGAGGAUGAUCGGCCACACUGGAACUGAGACACGGUCCAGACUCCUACGGGAGGCAGCAGUAGGGAAUCUUGGGCAAUGGGCGCAAGCCUGACCGAGCAACACCGCGUGGGUGAUGAAGGCCUUCGGAUUGUAAAGCUCUUUUAUUGGGAAAGAAAAGCAGUGUGUGUAACCCCGCAUGUUCUGACGGUACCCAAAGAGUAAGCCCCGGCUAACUUCGUG